CGCAGGCCGUUGCGUGGUGUGGCUUCACAAGCUCCAUUUCAAGCCUUCGUACUUUGCCAUUAUCGUCUUGCGUCUCCUGUCUUCUACUCCCUCACCCGCUCUCUCUCUCACAUAUGUUGUACGGUUCCUCUUGCCACGAGGACAGCUUCCUCGAUGCCAUCCUCGAUGAGCUCACGGUAAAUCCAUACAGUGACCUCCCCACGGUGCUCGCACGCGUGGAGCGUGUGCAGACGGCAGAAUCAAAUGUGGAGCGAAUGAGGCAGCGCAAGGCAGAGCAGCAGCAGGAGCGCGCGGCCCGCCUGCGGAACGAGUGGGCGUCCGCGACGAGGCAUCAGAGCCCCGCGUCAAGAGCUGACUCGCAGCAAUCCCUAUCACUGGAGGCCCUCACUGCGAGUUCGUCAGCGUACUUGGACAGCCUCGCUCGCGCCGCAGAUCGCGAGCCCAUCGCAUCGCUGCGAGGUGCUCCAAGCACGUCGGGACCGCCUCCCUUAUGCGCGCCGGCAAAGCUUGCUGCCGAGGCACUGUCGCCUCUCACCUCGGCCCUCUCCCUCCCCCACUUUCGCGAUGAGCACGCGUCGAGUGCGCUGCGCAGCGCGUACGUUCACCUGCUUCCGUACAUACUUGCUGUGGUGGCUCCUCCGGCUACACGCUCUACCUCACUGGCCCUUGCCACCUCUUCCACCACCGUAGCAGUCGCAGCAGGCGGUGGGUCUGCGCCAGUGCUGCCAUGGUAUGCGGUGCACACCGGCGACAGCGCCGUCCGUGAACUGCUCUCCCCGUACAUGAGCUCUGUCGUGGGACCUCUGGAAAAAGAGCUGCGCUUCCACUUUAGCGCGGGGUGUGACACGGCAGCCGUUCACGAACCGCAGCACUUCUUCUCUUUUCUGAUCGAGUGCUUCCAGCGGCAGCAGCGCAUCGUGUCGGAGCAGUGGGCGACGUCAAGGUUGCAAGACAGCGAGAGCGACGCUGCCCUCCGUCUUCUAGAGUCGGUGAGCCAGGUAGUCCUCAGUGCCACGGCCGUGGUUGUGUUCCAGGAGUGUUACGGCUGGCGGCCUGAUUCGGCGCUGUCGCGCCACAAGGACUACGUUGCGGUCACCGUGAACGCCGUGCUGGACUUUGUAGCGUCUGCAGAGGGGCGCUUGUGCAGAGACUCGGUGCAGCUGCUCGUGGAACACCUACUGGCGGAGGAAGUGCUCCAGCUAUACGCCCAAUGUGGAGCGGACAUGGCGGUGACCGCACUGCGCGAUGGCGCGGCGCGGCUGUGGAGGCGGUCGUUCCUGAUGGAGGGGGCGGGCCGCGCAUCGUUCCCGCUUUACACGUGCAGUUUGCACUUGGUGCGCUCGCUCGAGGCGUUUCAGCGGCGUCUUCUCAACUCGCUACUUCUCCUGCGCGGCUCGUGGGCGGAACUGGUGUGGCGCAGAUGUGUGGAGCCGGCGCUUUUGGCCUUCCUGGGGAUUGUGGAGAAUCAAGCACUGCCGGCUGUGGCGGACACGGCCGCAGCUUCCUGGGAGUCUGUCCUGUUCCUCCAGUGGUGUGUGGCGAGUGUGCAGGUUGUGGCAGCCGCAGCAGAGGACUGGCUUGGGAUGCUGCGGGAAAGCUGCGCCGCCACGGCCAGCACCGCCUCCUCACCUUCCUCUCUCAGUAAGUCAGAGACACUGGAUGCGCUGAUGCUGUUUCGCGAUCAACUUGCUCGCCGCUCGGCCGAGCACGCACGGCUCCUAACACUUCAACUCUGCACACCCCAGCCCGGGGAUGCAGCGCAGGCUGCGCGGCUGCUGCACGGUGCCGAGGAGUUCUUCAAGCUCAUGGGAGAACUGCCCGAUAGCACGUCGGCCCCCUACAUUGUGCAGGAUUUGGUGCAGGGUGUCCUGCAGAAGAACCUCUCGCCGGAGCACAAGACUGAGUUGCUGUCGUACACAAGGGGAUGUGGGCUGCAGCACUUUGCCCAGCUGCUUGUCGCGUGAGUCUUCUUCUGUCGCACGUGAAGACGGAUGGAUGCGUUGCGCGGGACGCGAUGUGAGCACCCUCGUCGUCCUUAUCGCCCUCCGGCUUCGUCUUUUCGUGUGCAGGCACGCACGUCUUGGUGCUCCGCACUUCGCUGCGCAUCGUAGCGGUGCCGCCGUCGCCCCUCCUCCCGUACAAAACACGCAGAAUCGACACAGCAGCAAAAAAAAAAGGACUUAGCGGAUUGCGUGUGGCGUGCGUGUCAGCGCUGCUGUCAGUGGAGGGCUGCGACUCGACGACGCAUGUACGAUGUCUACCCGUGCCCGACAUUGAAAUCAAGCUUGGGUGCACGUAAAGAUGGCGUAUGAGGCGGUGAGGGCGCUGUUUGAUGUGGCGGUGCCUUGCUCCGGUCCGAGGUCUCUCCGGGAUGACAAGGACAUAGAACAGCUGCGGUGGCGUGGGGACUUUCGCGUUCCCACCCCGCCCUUCUCCCUCCCACUGUCGUCUCUACUGCUCAUCAGGGCGCACGAGUCACCGUGUUUGCGAGUGCGUGUCUUGUGGUGUUGGGCUAGCAGGUUCGGAGUCGUGUUGCCAUCCUUGCUUGGCACCUCAGUCAUCGCUCGACCGCUACUUUGUAGCGAAACACUCAGCUUACCGCAGCCGCCUCUCUCUCGUCUUUUUUUCGCGGUAACGCCCUGCACCUUCUCUGCAUCCGCGAGCGAGGAAAGAAAAGUGGAGCGAGCCGUUCAGCGUCGUGCGCGCCUGAGCACUCACACUCCCUCUCUCUAGCGCCACCACCGUCACACCCAUCUCUGCCUCUCUGCCCCUAUUGCAGCAGCAGCAGCUGCUGCUACUGCUGCUACGACGCUGAGCCCCACCAGGAACACGUUCGAAGUAAAUACGCACACGCGGAACUCGCUCGCGCAUAUCUGAAGCGAUAGACGGGGGUGAGCGUAUGUGCCGAGAAGGCUUGUGCGCAGCGCUCUUUCCACCGUCUCGUACUCUUCAGCAAGACGAAGGCGGUCGGCAGAGCUAUCGAGAGCCAUGCACCGCCGCAUGAGUGCCCGCCCCGACUCCUCGAACUUGUUCCGGUAUAUCUGCCCCCGGCGCUGGCCGUGCUGCAGUUUCUUAUUUUUUUUUUUGUGCUCGUGGCGACGCCGUUGGACGUGCUCUAGCCACGCAAUUACACCGGCUUCGAAAGCUGAGCAUCUAUGCUCGGCUGGAAGAAAAUGUGCGGGACGCACGCCGUGAUGUCGGGCUUCAAGUUCGGCAUCACGGCAGCCAUGGGUGGCGCCGCUGCCUUCGCCGUCAUCUCCAUCUUUGUGGCCGUCGUUUGCGUUCAUUCUGCUCGUCCUGAGCGCCUUUGGCGUCUUCAAGAAGCCGUUGGUGGCACUCGAUGUCGACGGCGUGGCGUGUCUCACCAUUCUCAUUUCCUGGGGCCGUUUAUCAGAUGCGUACAAUCAGGGCACGUGCGUUAAACUGCCUCACGGGAGUGCCGGCCACAGCUACGACUAUGCUGCGUCGUUUGGACUCAUGGUGACGGCCUGGAUGUUUGAGGUGGCUGCGAUUGCCGGCUUCUUCUUUCUCAUGAAGACGUGGCGAAGGGGAAGGGGUGGGGAGGCGGAGUGAUGGGGCUGCCACAGAGUGACGGAGGGACGUGAGGGAGAGGUAUUCCUGCAGAGAUGUAUCUUACCUCACCCGUUCCGUGACGCCACUACGCCGCUGAAUGUGGCAUCCCUUGUGGACGACUGGCGGCGAGGCAACUGUGACACAUGCAUCUGGUCUUGGCGUUGCCCGGUGUGAGCGUCGGCGUGCGCAGGUGACGCGAUGCCGUCAUCCCUACUCAUGAGUGCAUCAAUGACGGCGGAUGCGUCUCUCUCCAUUGGCGCCUCCGCAUCUACCUAUCAACGUGCACCUGAACCCGAGUGUCUUACUCUCUUGUGCGCCGCUCUCUCCGUGGGAGAGCGUCGCGACUUCUGUGAGAAUGCGUCAGCGGGUGUGUUUUCCUCCCUCACGGCCCCCCUCCUUUUCCUAUCACGGCGUCGGUUUCGGAUGCUUGGAGUGGGCGCUUGUGACACUAUCCGCUCUCUUUUUCUUUUCUUUCUGCAUUGCCUCGUACGAUGCGACGACUUCGCUGAGCCUGCAUGAGGCUUCAGCAACGUGUCCUCCACAAACGGCUCACAACUCUCACCCUCCAAUAACCGCCUUACCCACCUCGCAUGGAGGUGCACGUGUGUAAC
Molecule: unclassified non-coding RNA, 4184 nt
Filed under: Leishmania donovani
Lineage: Eukaryota; Euglenozoa; Kinetoplastea; Trypanosomatida; Trypanosomatidae
Description: gene:LdHU3.22.2160(CDS-product:hypothetical_prote in_conserved)
Source: RNAcentral